RNAcentral lists this long non-coding RNA (270 nucleotides) under Ananas comosus (pineapple). RNAcentral describes it as "long non-coding RNA (ACOM_LNC037832)". The record is from RNAcentral. Lineage: Eukaryota; Viridiplantae; Streptophyta; Magnoliopsida; Poales; Bromeliaceae.
UAAUUGCUAGGUAAACGAAUGCGUUGGCGAAGACGGUUCGGCGAUUCGUCGAGCCGUUGCGAAGUUAUUAAAGAAACGGAUGUUUAGGCUUCGUUUUCGCCUGGAGGGCCGAGGCGAUAUCGUAAAUUCAUGAAAACGGAUUUGAGGCAUCGUGGCACAUAACCGAAGACCUUUAAUUUUCGGAUCGUGAAUUGGAGGCCGUUCGGGUGGUCGCGCAAGAGAUCGGAUCAAACCGGGUGGCGGGUGCCGCGGGAGGCCGAUUGCAAGUGU